This 253-nucleotide ribosomal RNA is filed under the name uncultured bacterium. Its description in RNAcentral is "partial 16S ribosomal RNA". It matches the Rfam family "Bacterial small subunit ribosomal RNA", at positions 524 to 776 of the family's 1533-position model. The record is from RNAcentral.
UACGUAGGGUGCGAGCGUUGUCCGGAAUUAUUGGGCGUAAAGAGCUCGUAGGCGGUUUGUCGCGUCUGCCGUGAAAGUCCGGGGCUCAACUCCGGAUCUGCGGUGGGUACGGGCAGACUAGAGUGAUGUAGGGGAGACUGGAAUUCCUGGUGUAGCGGUGGAAUGCGCAGAUAUCAGGAGGAACACCGGUGGCGAAGGCGGGUCUCUGGGCAGUAACUGACGCUGAGGAGCGAAAGCGUGGGGAGCGAACAGG